AGGCUAGUCUUGAACUCUUGGCCUCAGGCAAUCUUCCUGCCUUUACCUCCGGAGACAAUGGGAUUACAGACAUGAGCCACCAUGCCCAGUGACGAAACUUCAGCUUUAAGAGGUUAAAAGACUUGUCCAGAGUCAUGUUAACAGGAACUAAUUUUGAAGCACCAGAAUGCUGUGAAUUGGCUGUAAAACAAUGUUGAAGAAACUCAACAUAGAACAGAAGGCACACUUUCCUUAGGAAGAAUGCUGAUAAAAUUUUAAUGAACUAACAUGUUGUCAUGGGGAUUUGUUGCUAUUCAUUAAUUCAUUGUGCUGUUCCUCUAUAGUUUUGCUGAAGUUGACUGACAAAUUGUCAAGUCGCGGUUCUGGUGGUUUACACUACCUCAUUGAUAGCCUAAAUUUAGGGGGUAAAUUCUUCUAGAGACUUACCCCAUUGCAUUUGGGGUAACACAUUUUUCGCACUAUGUGUGCUCAAUUGUAUUUCAAAUGAAACUCCAUCUCUAGAGUAGGCCUUUGACUCUGCAAAACAGUGGAAAUAAUCACAGAAUGAUUGACAGCUCUGGUCACAGAUGGGGACUACCAUAGAAGCCAGGGCUGGGGAAGGCUCUACCAUAAAUAGUCAACUGGCCUCCUAUGAAUUAGGAUAAAAUUCUCAGUGGAAAAGAGUAAUUUAAUCAUAAAAAUCAUAGAAUGCCAGAAGCUUGCAGGGACCUCAAAAUCUGUCUAACUCUUUCGUUUUGCAAAUAAGAAAAUGGAUGACACCCAGAGAGGUGAAGAUUUAUAAAGGAUAUGAGUGGCAAAACAAGGAUCAGAAACUCAGUAUAUUGGCUUAUUUUCUUGUCAUUAUGCCUCCCUGGAUUUCUUCUCUUGUUCUUUUCACUUCUAACGGAUUUCAUACUUUCCCCCUGAAAUUAGCCCUAAUCACAGAAUAACAUGAAACAAUAUCCCUGGGGUUUAGGAACAUAGCCAUGGUUGGCCAAUCAUAAGCUCGCAUGUUAUCUUUUAAAUGCACACGAAUUUUAUGCUAUAAAUGAUCCAUGUUUGUAUUAAUAGAAUUUUUCCAAAUCUUUGAGUAAAAUGAUGCUCUAGGAAAAUUUAGCAAACUUGCCCAAUACUUUAUAUACCUCCAGGCACUGCUGCAUACCCAGAUUGUGAUAAGCAAAUAAAGAUCACUGGCAAAAAGCACAAUCAGAGCAAGAAAUAUGAGGGAUCCCCCUAUCAUAGUGAUCAUUAAACAAUAUUGAUGGGGCUUGAUACCUACUUCUGUGCCUUGAUGGGGGCCAGCUGAAAGGAAAAGCAUAGGUUGUUCUGCUCUGUGGUGGCUAUGGCAUUGAGAAGCAGCCAGAGGUGAAAAGUCCCACAACCUGGCACAAAAUAUUCAUGUCGUAUUUGCAGAGACAGCCAAAGAUCAGUGGAUAGAAGGUUUGAUUGUUGUUGUUGUUUUCUUUUUUUCCUUUUUAAAUCCUAUUCUCCCUACUGCCAAACGUUUGAGGAUAUUAGUUUCAAAUCAACUUAUUGAUUGCCCACUUUUGCAGAACACUGAGAGGAUUCUAAUUUAUAAUAUGCAAAUACUCUAAAUGCCCAAAGCAAGGUGCUAAACAGUAAACCAACAAAAAAUCCUUUCUCAUUAUUAAACUCCAACAGCUUCAUUUUACAUCCUAAAUCAUUGCUACUCAAAAGCAUGGCCAUUGCAUCAUAAGUAUCACCUCGGAUCUGCUAGAAACAUGGAAUUUCAAGUCCCACCUCAGACUUAGCAAAUCAGAAUCUGCCUUUUAAUAAGAUCCCCAGAUGAUACAUAUGCACAUGAAAGUUUGAGAAGCUUUGGGCUACCUUACAUAAUACCAACAUAGUAUCCUAACAUUUAUGCUAAUAACACACAUAACACAACCCAAAUAGAGAUACUUACUGGUACUUUACCUUUAUGUUGUUCCCAACAGGCAAGAAUAAUUACUGGUAAAUUUAACUGUGCUUUUUUUAAAAAAAAAAAAAAGAACCUUUUUAUUGAUAUAUCUAAAAGCUUGUUUAACUAUGUACAUAAUGAAAACAAUUGCUAUCCUUCCUCCCAAGAAAUGCAAAGCUUGUAAAAUCUCAAUACAUUUUUAUUUACUAAUGGCUAUAUCCAAAUAAUAGCAACAGCAAAAUUCACUGGGGGUUCUGUAAUGGGCCAGGCACUGUACUGUAUAGAUUGUGCACACUAUUCAAUUGAGCAUUCUCCACAACCCAAACAUGUGGACAAUAAUAUCACCUUCGUUUUACAGAAAGAUAAAUUAAAGCAUAUAAGUAGUCUGUCUAGGAACUAACAGUUAGUAUGAAGUAAAAGUGAGAUCAGAACCCACAAAAAUGGGACCUGUCACCCACCACACUAGUUUUGAUUAGGCUAUUAGCACUGCAAAAAAAAAAUAGCGUAAACCCAACACAAAUAUAUCUCACUCUAGGAUUAGUCUUCAGAUAGGACAUGUUUUUAUUUUGUGGAAUACCUAUUGACUACUAAUUACAUACCUGCCAUACAUGUAACAGCCUAAAAAAAAAGCAGUUAGAACUAUAUUUAGCAGCUAAGAUAAUUUCUUAAGCUAAUAAUUAACCUUAAAAAAAGAUUUGAAGUCCUUUUAGAUGAGCAAAAUAAUUGACACUUUGACUAAUUUUACUUGAAAGAAUCCAUCUAAAAUAAAAAUUAGAAAUAAAUAAUAAAUAAAUCAGAAACAGGAGCUAUUUUUCACAGUAAUCUUAUGCCUUUUCAAAAUUAACCUAAUACAAAAUCCAGCAUUAUAGUAUUAUGUAAGCAAAUUAUAUAUAUCAUACAUUAAAAUGUUACAAUGUCAUUAAAAUUAUAAUUGCAAACAAUUUUCUAUAAGAAUAUAUUCCUUAAAUUUAAAAAGCUGGAUACAAAAUGAUAUCUCUUCUAUAUACAGAGAGAGAAUGAGAGAGAAAAUGUGAAAAUACAUCAGAAUAUGUAAAUAUAUAUUUUAUAUAUAUAAUACAUAUCCAAAGAAAAUAUACCACAUUCUAAAUUUAAUUAUAUAUGAUGAUUUGUGUUAUAUUUAGAUUUUCCUUUUUUUAUAUAUUUUGGACUAUUAACCAAAAUAAAUAUGUAUUACUUUACAAGUUACUUUAUAAUUUCUCAAACCAGGGAAACUAUGUUCUUUAUUCAUUAAAUUUCAAGACCCAGUGUAUUUAUUGGAAUUUCAUAAAAUACAUUUAAAUUUCAAACUUUUUGGUCUUUACAGAGCAAGGAUUUUGGUUUAUUCAGCAUUUUCCUGAGUAAACACAUGCAAGUAAAAAGUCUCAUUGGACUAUAACCAACAAGUGCUUAUUUGAAGAUCCCAGGGUUGAUUUGUUAAUUAUAGACUUCCAUUUAGUUUAUGUAUAUAGCAGAUAUUUGAAUUGGUACACACUUGAAGCACAGAGAGAUUAUGAACUAAAGCAAAAUACAGUCCUAUAUGGAUUUUAGCUGAUGUCGCUUGAGAGUUCCACUGAGCCACAUUCAACAGUAGUUACAGAUUUAAAGAUUUAUCAUUUUCUCAUUUUAAGAUGAAUACCAUUAUCACUUAAAAGUCCCUUUUAUUUCAUUCAUUAAACUCUAUUAAAAUCAUAGAUUGUUCAGAAGCAAUUUUUCUUUGAAAUUCUUGAUUUUGAAAGCAUUUUUUAUCAUUGAGAAGACACAAUUCCCUCCCCAGAUUUGUGUCAGUUUCCCUCUAACUGGGACUCCUAGUAACUUUAAAAAUUAUUCCAUGAGCAGCACACAAACAGUCCCCACCCAGGUGCAUUAUUUAUUUUUUUCCUAAAGAUCUACAGUAAACAUAAGACAAAUGAAAAAAAAAUCACUAUCAAAUUAAGUUCAGGUGACCUAGCCAUUUUUAGCAUAGAGUUAUAUUCCAGAACCUCAGGUUAGCAAAACUCACAUAGGCAGUCGAAUCUUUGCUUUUCAAAUUUAGACACAAAAGAAUCUCCAAAGCAAUGGAUGACAUUUUAUCAUGUGAUUCCCAAUAAUUAAUUUGUUAUGGGCCCACAUAAAUAAAAUAAAUGCUGAGUGAUACAUUGACUUCUGUUAUCGAAAGCAUCUCCCUUCUCACUCCUGCCUCUCUGGCUCCUGACAUUAUUUCUUGGUUAUUGGUUGACAGUUCAGUGCCUUGAGUGUUGCUCUCGCUGUAGGGUUAGCAGGAUAAUUGACAAACCACAGGGAUUGAAUCCCUGGAUUAGGAUGACCGGACUGUCAAAACAACCAUGACAAACUCUCACAUCAACUUCGACUGCAAGUCAAAGCUGUGAGGGAAAAAUUCACCUUGGCAGGGCCAGAUGGGAAGUCUUUAGUUUAAAAUAUUUCCCACUACAAAAUGUAUUUCAGCAAGAAAGAGGAACAAUAUAAGAGUUUUUAAAGUACAAUUCAUAGAGAAAUACUUCAAUACAGUCCCUAUUAAUU
This 4414-nucleotide long non-coding RNA is filed under the name Homo sapiens (human). RNAcentral's name for it is "HSALNT0107052". The record is from RNAcentral. Lineage: Eukaryota; Metazoa; Chordata; Mammalia; Primates; Hominidae.